RNAcentral lists this ribosomal RNA (256 nucleotides) under uncultured bacterium. RNAcentral's name for it is "partial 16S ribosomal RNA". It matches the Rfam family "Bacterial small subunit ribosomal RNA", at positions 524 to 778 of the family's 1533-position model. The record is from RNAcentral.
UACAGAGGGUGCGAGCGUUGUCCGGAAUCACUGGGCGUAAAGGGCGCGUAGGCGGCUUGAUAAGGUUGCGGUGAAAGCCCGGGGCUCAACCCCGGGUCGGCCGUGGCAACUGUCGAGCUGGAGCACUGUAGAGGCAGGUGGAAUUCCGGGUGUAGCGGUGGAAUGCGUAGAGAUCCGGAAGAACACCGGUGGCGAAGGCGGCCUGCUGGGCAGUGGCUGACGCUGAGGCGCGACAGCGUGGGGGAGCAAACAGGAU